AGAUGCUUCUGGUGGAUUUCCUCUGUGCUGGUCAGUGUGUGAGUCUGGUCUAGGUGUGGAAAAGGCCUGCUGUAUGUGUGUCCAUCCCCACCGUGCGUGGCUCUUUUUGUGCCUUUGGUCUACCAUGUUUGCUGAGGGACCAGGGGGAGGCAACGGCUUUGUCAUCGAUCUGCCGCAGCUCGGCGGCUCCGCCAGCAGAGAUCAAACCCGCCGGUAAACCUGGGGAUGCCGGCUGUUUGUCACCGUCGACUCACACCAACAGGAACAAGGACGGGAGCGGGAAGAGGAGGGAGGGAGGAGGAGACGGAGUGGGAAUAAGGGACAGCUGUGGUUUUUGCUGGAUAUUUGCACGAAGAUACAGUAAGCACAGACAGUGGAAAGUAGAGACGGAGAACUGGAGACAGACAAACACACAUGGACAGAUGGAGACUUAGAGAAAAGCUGACAAGGGGAGCGAAAGAAAAGAAAUGAGGGAUGGAAGCUGACAGAUGCACAGAUAAACAAACUGUGGGAGUUGGGGGUAAAGGAGCUGGAGGCACCCUGGGGUGUUCAGUGAUCAAAAACCAGUAAACUACAUUGUUGUUAUUCAGUUGGCAUUUCUUCAUGUUUUGCGGGUGGCGAUUUUUAGCUGACUUGCUACAAAGCUUCUUGGCCUUGGAGGCUGCGAGGGAGACCCGGGCAGAGCGGGAGUUUCACCGAUGCUUGAAUCAGCGCGGCGGAGGUUUGUGCUGACAGUCCCUCAGCGAGGCCUCGGCACCCUCUCUUCCAAAGAGCAGGGGGGAUAUCAUUACG
Oreochromis niloticus (Nile tilapia) is the source of this 792-nucleotide long non-coding RNA. RefSeq lists it as uncharacterized. The transcript is spliced from 3 exons. NCBI's taxonomy places the organism in Eukaryota, Metazoa, Chordata, Actinopteri, Cichliformes, Cichlidae. The record is from RefSeq and is a predicted model, not a curated record.